RNAcentral lists this ribosomal RNA (300 nucleotides) under uncultured Tenacibaculum sp. RNAcentral describes it as "bacterial SSU rRNA". It matches the Rfam family "Bacterial small subunit ribosomal RNA", at positions 114 to 409 of the family's 1533-position model. Lineage: Bacteria; Pseudomonadati; Bacteroidota; Flavobacteriia; Flavobacteriales; Flavobacteriaceae. The record is from RNAcentral.
CGCGUAUAGAAUCUGCCUUGUACAGGAGGAUAGCCUUUAGAAAUGAAGAUUAAUACUCCAUAAUAUUGAGAAGCGGCAUCGCUUUUUAAUUAAACAUUUAUGGGUACAAGAUGACUAUGCGUCCUAUUAGCUAGAUGGUAAGGUAACGGCUUACCAUGGCAACGAUAGGUAGGGGGUCUGAGAGGAUUUAACCCCCACACUGGUACUGAGACACGGACCAGACUCCUACGGGAGGGCAGCAGUGGGGAAGUAAUUGCACAAAUGGGCGCAAGCCUGAUGCAGCAACGCCGCGUGAGGGAC